RNAcentral lists this ribosomal RNA (433 nucleotides) under uncultured bacterium. Its description in RNAcentral is "partial 16S ribosomal RNA". It matches the Rfam family "Bacterial small subunit ribosomal RNA", at positions 29 to 507 of the family's 1533-position model. The record is from RNAcentral.
AACGAACGCUGGCGGCAGGCUUAACACAUGCAAGUCGAACGGAUCCUUCGGGAUUAGUGGCAGACGGGUGAGUAACGCGUGGGAACGUACCCUUUGCUACGGAAUAACUCAGGGCAACUUGAGCUAAUACCGUAUGUGCCCUACGGGGGAAAGAUUUAUCGGCAAAGGAUCGGCCCGCGUUGGAUUAGCUAGUUGGUGGGGUAAUGGCCUACCAAGGCGACGAUCCAUAGCUGGUCUGAGAGGAUGAUCAGCCACACUGGGACUGAGACACGGCCCAGACUCCUACGCGAGGCAGCAGUGGGGAAUAUUGGACAAUGGGCGCAAGCCUGAUCCAGCCAUGCCGCGUGAGUGAUGAAGCUCUUAGGAUUGUAAAGCUGUUUCACCGGUGAAGCUAAUGACGGUAGCCGGAGAAGAAGCCCCGGCUAACUUCGUG